CGCAUCUGUGCAUGCAGCAUAUCAAUAAGCGGAGGAAAAGACUGCGGAACUGAACGACCGCUACCUACGCUUAGGAUGUUGACGUGACUGUCGAUCAUCUAUACAUGACUCUGUGCAUAUCAAUAAGCGGAGGAAAAGAAACUAACAAGGAUUCCCCUAGUAACGGCGAGUGAAGCGGGAAGAGCUCAAAUUUGAAAUCUUAAAGGGUUUCCCUUUACGAAUUGUAGUUUAAAGAAGUGUUUUCUGUUGAGGUUUUGGUAAAAGUUCUUAGGAAUAGGACAUCAUAGAGGGUGAGAAUCCCGUAUUUGACCUUUACUUUCAACUUUGUGAUACACUUUCAAAGAGUCGGAUUGUUUGGGAAUGCAGUCCGAAAUGGGUGGUAAAUUUCAUCUAAAGCUAAAUAUUGGCGAGAGACCGAUAGCGAACAAGUACCGUGAGGGAAAGAUGAAAAGAACUUUGAAAAGAGAGUUAAACAGUACGUGAAAUUGUCAAAAGGGAAGCGUUUGACACCAGUGUUGUUUUUCUGAAAAUCAAUUAAAGGAACUGUUUAUGCUAAGCUUGUUUAGACUUUAUCAGCUAACUGUUUAGUUUUGAGCUUUUCUUUAAUGCACUUUUCAGUUAACAAGUCAACAUCAAUUUCUUUUGCUGUAAAAAAGCUUGAGGAAGGUGGCUUGAGAUUCGUCUUAAGUGUUUAUAGCCUCUUGCCUAUGCAGUCGGAGAGAUUGAGGUCUGCAGCGUAGAUCCUUCGGGGCUAAAUGCAUUUGUGCUAAGUUAUAGCAUUUUAUAGACAACUUGUUGACUAUGAUUUAGUCUUGUAGCUUACUCGCUUAUGUUAUUUUACCUACGCUUAGGAUGUUGACGAGACUGUCGAUCUC
RNAcentral lists this ribosomal RNA (875 nucleotides) under uncultured Neocallimastigales. RNAcentral describes it as "partial large subunit ribosomal RNA". It matches the Rfam family "Eukaryotic large subunit ribosomal RNA", at positions 1 to 647 of the family's 3401-position model. Lineage: Eukaryota; Fungi; Neocallimastigomycota; Neocallimastigomycetes; Neocallimastigales. The record is from RNAcentral.